CAUUCUAUACACGAAAAUGUGGGACGUUGUAUGGUGUGUGCACUUUAAAACUUUUGAGGAAAAUUAAAGCAGCUAAAUAAACUACACAAAUCACUGUUAACGUAUAUGUUUAAAGCGGUAUACUAUUAAUUUAAGCGUUUGCUUUUGGAAAGCAACCUAGGUCUGCACUCUCCAAUAAAGGUUCUUGAGCUUUUAAAUAUCAUUUAUAAAAGUAAUUACCGCUGACCUAUAACGGGUAGUUGGUAAAUCCGCUUCACAAAUUUCAAAGCCUAUAGUUUAAAUUUAAAUGGCCUACUGCAAUUGAGAGCGCAAGAAAGGUUAGCUACCCAACGAGCUUUCCUAUAAGGGCAGUUUAAAUAAGUACGUAUUACGUAAUGAGACAAAAGCAUGAAGGAGUCUGUCAUAAUACAGAUAAUGACGGAACGAAAAAUACACGGUUAAGGUUUAAGAUAUGGCCGAGCUAAAAAUACACAAGGUUUGAGGCUGAGCUGGAAACAAGCGCGUUGUAGCUAUUACCGUUGACUAAUCUGGUAUCAUAGGUUUGGAGAGAGCUUUGGUUGUGUGGUGUACGAAAUUCUCCGUUCUCAAUCUUGCGAUUUUCGUGUCUGGUGCAAGUCGGUUUAAAGAAAACAACGAAACGUAUCAUUACGAACGAUCCAGUAUACUUAAAAUUCUUUGAUGGGUCUUGCGAUGAGCCACGCGCUAGGAUUUCAAGUUUAAUUGCCGCGUGACACUGAAUAGGUUAUGGUCGGGAUGUAGCACUUGAGGUGAAACGGUGCAGCGUGAUUUAACCACACACUGUGAACAAUUGUUACCAAACAGCCCCAACUUAGUUGUAAAAAUGAUCUUUGUUUUCAGCGAACUGCGGUAAAAGGGCUUACGCGGGGUACUGAACGUGUAAGCGGGGUAAAAACAAAGAAGCGGGGAGCAGCAGCCGAUUGUAACGAGAUCGGGUUGCACUGCAGCAAUGCCGCGUGGGCAACACCCGCUACUAUGCUAGUGCUUCACAACAAAUAACAAUUACAAUCGGCUAAGCAAUUAGGGCACUUGAUGGGCACCACGGCAUCGGGUUGCAGAACACGCGUAGGCUUGCUCGGACCGGAUUAGCUGGGAUCACAGCAUGCCAGCUAAAAGCAAGUGUUGAUAGUUUUUCUUGCUCCGCUGAUACAAUUUUGAAGUGGCGAUCAUCUCUCGCCGCAAGGAGUGGUGAUGCUUGAUUGGAAACAAGCGGCGUCCGGCUUGGCUACGAGCAUUGUGGUGUGUCGUAUAAUAAGAUACCGCCAUAUGCGCGCCAAGACAGAGCAGCCAUAGAUCAUUCUCCCCAUACUUCGCAAUUGUUUAUUGUGCCGGGUCAUCGUUGGCGCCUCAGACAUUGAAUAGCCACGAGCAAAGCGGAUUAAUCGAAAGAAACACGGAUCGGCUUCAUACUAAUACACAAAGCUUCAAUAUAUACGGCAUUUCCAAGAAACGAUUUCUUGGUCGACAAAAACUUACACGGAGGUUAUAUACUAGAUGACAUGUGAAAAGCAAGCCUGCUCUUUCUGCAACCGGGAUUAAUAGGAUUCUUUGAUAAUACGCACUUUUAAAAGAGGCAUUGUACCAGAGCAAUUUUUGACGUGUCAUUCCGUAAGUGUUGGUCUACAAAGGCUGUACGCUCUUAAUCAAAGACAUCGAGAUAUUCCCAGGGUAAGUAAUGGCCGUGAUGCGGCAGAACUCGAGUGUUUACAAUUCACCAGAUGAUGUUUUCGAGAUGCCACGCAGUAUUGCAUUGUCAUUGCACUCUGCAGUGAUUUGGAAUUUCAAAGAAUAUAGGGCAAUAAAAGGCGAGUUUGUGUAAGCUAUUCUGUUAACGUUUGCAUUCACCACAAGCUGUGGAACACCAACCCGUCUCGGUAACACAAACUGUGCGGAGAUAGAAUGACGUCGACACACCAUAACGAUCGCGGAUUGAAGUAUUGCAAUACCAUCCAUAAGAGCAUUAGACGGUAAACUGCGGUUGAGAUAAGAUCUUGGUAGGGACAUUUUGCUUCUUCCAUAAUUGCCCGUUUAGUGCAAGUCAAGUAAACCUUCACCUGUCUUGCGUUCGGUGGUAUCGGUCGAGUGGUAACGGAAACAACAGGAUGCAUUUCAGCUCACUUAAGCUUGGCUUCGAGUGGAUGGAUUUAGUUACAAAAGAAGCUGCAGCCGUUUGUCGUCGACUUCCAUGUUGUGCCUACACAAAUGGGACCAAGGGGCGCCAAGGCAACCCUGCGGUGUGGAGAAAACAACCCCAUUCGUCUUGGUAAAGAGAUCUGUGUACCGAGUGCGCAAAAGGAGGCUCUUAUCUGCCAAGUUUAAACACGGAAAUCUCCGUGAAGUCUACAUUUUAAAACGCGUUUUGCGCAGAUGCGCUCAUGCGGAAAUUUCACGCCAAUUUGACGUGAUACGCUUGCUGCGCAUGUUCAUUGCCGACUGGGCGAAAGUGACACGGACUGGCAACUUUAGUGACCAGGUAAUCGUAUAAACUUGGCUUCGUGACUUUGCUCUAUAUUUUAGAACGGUUAACGACUGUGCGAACUUUUGUUCUAAAUUAGAUAGGCCUUUCUCACGAGCCGCAACACGGUUAUGACGGCAACUGGAUUUAAAUAAAGCCUGCACAACCUAGCCACAGCCAAAUGGGCGCGAUUCCAGGACAUGCCCAGGAGCGCGUUUUGGUUAUUUUCGUCGUGUACGUAUGAACUUGACGUCACGAUUGUGGAACUUGCAUGUGAGAAACUUAGCAGGAACUAAACUUGAAGGGCAAGAUCAGAACAAAGCAACUGGUGUGUCUGGUGCCGUGGACAAAAAACGCAACAAAAACAACGUUAAGUUGAAACUGGUAGCUGAACAAAACCUCCAGACGGAAGCAUUAAAAGAUGACGUCACAGUAUGACCAAGCAGAAGCAUAAUCAUGCGAAACUUUAAAACCCCUUUACAAAUAUAUUAAAAAAAUGAUCGCCUUUACUUUUGGGUUGAGUCAUACGGCAAUUUAAAAAACCGGUUCCAAUGUGUGGUCAUGAUUCAACAAGUGAGGUGCAGGUGUGUGUGAAACAUGGUUCGUUGGGAUAUAUUACAAUUGAUUGAGCGGAGCUUUCCGGAGUGGCAGCUUCUAUACCUCCUGGGUUUGCGGCAGGUCGAUUAGAAUACAAGCGCAGCUGCAAUUAUUGGGAUGCUUGGAAAAUGCGCGCAUCCGGUUAUUUUAAUAGGCCAAUUGGUAGUUCAGUGCAUGGUGUUGGCUGAAGCAGGCCAUGACCGGUUAGAUUGGGAGAUUUUCUCCGUUCAAGCUUCGCGCACGUCACUGCAGUGGGAAAGGAAGUGAUUUAAAUUGGCGACUCCCAAUAUUAAACAAAAGCUGACCUUCGAAUGCAAUUAAUCGAACAAGUGGCUGAUCUGAUACGAAUUUGACAUUUCAUUGAACAAGAAUUGCCGCAAAUCCAAUCCGUGAGAAAUGUGUUUAAAUGCCAUUUGCGGUGGCGGUGGUGGUACAAGGAGAAACACGAAUUGACACAAAUCCAAAGUUUGAAUCUACAACGUUACAUGCAGAAGGUAGCAUUGACCUACUUUACGCUGCGGUCAACUGACCUAGUUUCGAAAAUACAACAACCGUUUAAACAGUUAAUAAGGGAGAAAUCUAUUUUUGCGGUUAAAAACACGUGUUGGCAUUCAAUGGAGGUAAAUAAAUAAGUUUUACUACAGCCCGAGCCUUCAACGAAUAACAAAAUUCCUAUUCGGUUUCGUGCAAACGAUCACAACAAACACAAGUAGCGUGGACAAGAGUAAAAGUUUAAUUUGUAAAAGGUAAGGGCGACUAAAAUGGACAGUGGCUAGCGUGUUCUCUUAUAGCGCGUACUUUUGGGGAUUUAAAGGGCGUUUUCAGUUCAUUGUUGAGACGGCGAGUCGACACGCUGCUGUGGAAGACAACGAUUCGUUGUUCGGACGCGGUCGGGUGGAACACCGUAAUAUUGACUCAACGACCUAACGCACAAGUAAUAAACUCCUGCUGAAUGAUGAGCAAGAGCUGCACGACCCUAUUACUAGGCUACUGGGGACGAACAUUCAAACCAAGCAGGAUUAGAUUAUUUGCGAAAACGCUCCUUGGUUCCAUUAACGAUGGACGUCGUAGGGAGUUGCAGCCAUGUGAAGCUUAAAUUGGAUAAUCUGCUGUUGUAGCAGAAACAGCAAUCCAGACACGAUUUUGUUGACGUUUAAGUCACGGGUAUCGAGCAAAGUAAUACGAUACCAACA
Non-coding RNA from Ciona intestinalis (vase tunicate), 4263 nucleotides. Lineage: Eukaryota; Metazoa; Chordata; Ascidiacea; Phlebobranchia; Cionidae. The record is from RefSeq and is a predicted model, not a curated record.